This 294-nucleotide unclassified non-coding RNA is filed under the name uncultured fungus. RNAcentral's name for it is "partial contains small subunit ribosomal RNA, internal transcribed spacer 1, and 5.8S ribosomal RNA". The stretch from base 1 to 73 matches the Rfam family "Eukaryotic small subunit ribosomal RNA", at positions 1759 to 1831 of the family's 1831-position model. The record is from RNAcentral. Lineage: Eukaryota; Fungi.
GCAAACUUGGUCAUUUAGAGGAAGUAAAAGUCGUAACAAGGUCUCCGUAGGUGAACCUGCGGAGGGAUCAUUAUUGAAUUUUAUCAAAGAAAAAUGUUGUGCUUUCUCUUGAAAGGGGGAAUAGUGCAAUGUUUUUCUUUUCCAAACAAACGAUCACAACUAGCAAGAAAAUUGACUUGGAUGAUUUGGAAACAAACAAGUGUUUGCCUGAUAAUCAAGAUGAUUUGGAUUGGAGAAAGAAAUACAACUUUCAACAACGGAUCUCUUGGCUCUCACAUCGAUGAAGAACGCAGC